AAUCCUACGGGGCGCAGCAGUGGGGAAUAUUGCACAAUGGGGGAAACCCUGAUGCAGCAACGCCGCGUGAAGGAAGACGGUUUUCGGAUUGUAAACUUCUUUUCUUAGUGACGAAGCAAGUGACGGUAGCUAAGGAAUAAGCAUCGGCUAACUACGCGCCAGCAGCCGCGGUCAUACGUAGGAUGCGAGCGUUAUCCGGAAUUACUGGGUGUAAAGGGAGCGCAGGCGGGACUGCCCGUUUGCUUU
This 246-nucleotide ribosomal RNA is filed under the name uncultured bacterium. Its description in RNAcentral is "partial 16S ribosomal RNA". It matches the Rfam family "Bacterial small subunit ribosomal RNA", at positions 335 to 595 of the family's 1533-position model. The record is from RNAcentral.